RNAcentral lists this ribosomal RNA (497 nucleotides) under uncultured bacterium. Its description in RNAcentral is "partial 16S ribosomal RNA". It matches the Rfam family "Bacterial small subunit ribosomal RNA", at positions 28 to 507 of the family's 1533-position model. The record is from RNAcentral.
GAUGAACGCUGGCGGCGUGCCUAAUACAUGCAAGUCGAGCGAACAGACGAUGCGCUUGCUCCUCUGACGUUAGCGGCGGACGGGUGAGUAACACGUGUAUAACCUACCUAUAAGACUGAGAUCACUUCGGGAAACCGGAUCUAACACCGGAUAAUCUCUUGAACCACAUGGGGCAAUGGAGAAAGACGGCUGUUCUGGAUCUACUCGCGGCUUACGGGCUGCAUUAGCUAGUAGGUAAGUUAACGGCUUACCAAGGCUACGAGGCGUAGCCGAACGGAGGGGGUGAUCGGCCACAUGGGAACUGAGACACGGUCAAGACGCCUACGGGAGGCAGCAGUAGGGAACGUUCGGCAAUGGGCGAAAGCAUGACGCAGCAAGGCGGCGUGAGUGAUGAAGGUCUUCGGAUCGUAAAGCUCUGUUAUUAGGGAAGAACAACUGUGUAAUUAAAUAUGGCGGUCUUGACGGUACCUAAUCAGAAAGCCACGGCUAACUACGUG